UGUGGAGGAUUGGAUUCUUCCAUGGAACAUCGACAAUCUUUUCCACAUGAACCUAUCACCGCAUGAAUCUACCACCGAAAAAUGCUAAAUGGUAUGCAUGUGUAGUAAGUAGAUGCUAUACAUGGGCAUUUGAUGUGCCUUAAGAAAACCACUUAGUUUUCUAGAUCUGGGCUUCUGUUUUUGCAGUGGCGAUAGUUUGAAGCGCUCCACGCGUGUUUAGGCCGAGCUUGAUGUAAUUGAGCAAAUAGUCCUUGAAGACGACGGGUUUGUAGAGAGCUGGAUGGGACGAGCUGGGGGGAAGGAGCAAUCGGCAACGAUUUGGCUGGGCCCAUGAGCGUCGCGACUGAAAUCCGGAGCUUCUCCUUGUUUACCACUGCCCGGUACUCCACGCUAUGAUAUCUUCCAUUGCUUAUGAUCACUUACAAAACCAAUGAUUGGAUUCUACUGUUUGCUAUUGUUUGCUGUGUUCACGAUCUAAAAGUGUGCUAGGAGUGAAAAAAACAAUAUGACAAAUGAAAAAAAUACAUUUAUUCCAAACACCUUUGAGCAUUAGCAUGUUGUGUCUUUAGUUGCAUCAAUUUUCAUUGCAAUUUGACCAAUUUUUAACAUUCUUUUGAACUGACUUGCUUCAUCUAUCUUCCCCUAAUAUUUUCAAACUAUGAUUCCUAAAUGAUUAAUGCUUGAAAUUUGAUCUUGGUCUUUUCUACAGUUUAUUUCUUGCUACAAUAUGUACAGAGUUAAACAACAGAAAAUUUCUGAAACACAGAAAAAUCCCAACUCAAACACAUAGGUGUGUUACAAAUUCUCAAACACUUGCUUAUGUACUACUUACAUUGUCAUCCUCCAUAACCCAUGAUCUGAUCCUCCAUGUUAUCAUGUACCUCUAAACCUUAUACCACAAGUUUUGUUAUUUCCAGCUUUAGGCAGCGGGUAGCCAUUAAGUGGUUAUACUAGAUAGUUUAGAAUAACAAGUUGAGAAGUGGUUAGUAAUUAGAAGUUAAAAAUUUUACUUAGUGGACUAAGAGAAGUUAAUGGUGUUUUCCAGUGAGUUAACAAAAAAUGAGGUGAAAGAUUAAUCUUGAGAAAAGAGUUAAAAUAAGUAGUAGAAGAACAAAAAAUAGGAGCAUUAGUAAUAUUUUCAACUCCAGUUUACUUGGCUUAUUUGCUUUUAUGGAUGCUUUUUCAAUUAUUUAAGAAUUUUUUUUUGUUAACUCAAGUUUUUUUUUUCUUCAAUAACUCUAAAAGCUUCUUCACCAACUCAAGUCAUGAACUAAAGAAAAAUCACAUAUAUGAAUGUACUUUCAAGGUUGCAGCCAUAAUAUUAUCAUCCCUAGUAUAAGCCUCUUUUAAUUAAUCUAACAAAUUUAAAUAAGUGCCAAAAAUAUUGAAAUAAUAAUUAUUGAUUUUUUUCUUUUAAAUAAAAAAGUUACUGUAACCUUCUCAAAUACAAAACAAUAUCACUAUUAUAUAUGAUUACGUCAAUUUCAAAUUUAUUUUGGAACCAGUUUUAAUAAAAUAUUAUUUUUAUACCAUUUAUUCUAAUUAAUUAAAAAUAUAGUUUUCCAUGAUAAAACUUAUGCUCUAAAUAUGUAUUAAUAAUAGUAUAGAAUUUCAUAUUUCUUGAAAAAAAUUAGAAAACAUUUAAGAUUAAGUUUUAAAUUAUAAAACAGCUUUAAAAUAUAAGUAAUAAUUUUUCUUUAAAAAAUAGUAUAAGAAAAUGUAAUUUAUACAUUAAAAAUUAAAAUAUUUAUAAAAAUUAUCAUAUUUUAUAUAACGAUACAAUGUUUAAAUAAUAAACUUUGUUACUACCUCUUUUGAUGUGGAUCCAUGCAUUUCCACCAUCAACAAAUCUAUUACAAUAUUAUCUUUAUUGAAGCACAAGAAACCUUGAAAACUAAAAAGAUACACAAAAAAAAUUUAAUUAUUACAAUAACAUUUCAUGGAUUAUAAUGGUUUUCCAAGUCCUUUUCUUUGGUUUAAAAUUAUAAUUUCAAAAUUGAUUUAAGUGUUUGGUAGUUGCAUAUGAAGUUACAAUUGAUUUAUCAAGAUUUUGUAAUCAACUGAUAUUUAUGCGAUAACUCUGAGUUUUGUUUUAGCUAUGGUUAUUAACAAUUUUAUUGGUGGUUUUAUGAGAGCUUCAGAUUUUUCUAGUAAUUUGUAAUCACUUAACAGAAGGUCCAGAUGUUUCACCUAAUUUAUUGUCAAAGGGGAAAAUGGUGUAAGAUUUAUAUAUAUAUAUAGACACACACAUAUAUAUAUAUACAUACAUACAUAUAUAUAUAUUACCUACCUAGGUAAUUUAUUAAUUAUAGUACUAAAGCAUAUGGACUGUUCGUUUAGGAUUGAAUCUGGUCCAUCCAUUUUUGUUAACCUAUUUUUAUAUCCCGAGCUAUAAAUUUUACAGUAUUUAAUUUAAUUAAUUAAAAAAUUAUCUUACAAACACUCCAUAACGAUAAAUAUCAAAAUGGUGAAAGCAUUAGCUAGCACAAUCUCCAAAUACACCCUUUUCCCCAGGCUGAACACCAACACCUUUAAAAGCUACUAUGGUUUGCUGAGGAAAUCAUCCAGAAGCAAUCCCAAGAUGGGCUGUUCUUGAGGAUCAAAGUCUACCACAAAAUCGAUGUUCAAUUGUAGUCCCGCUUGUCGAGACGUUGCAAUCAGUGUGCCGUCCAAGUCAAGGAUUAAAGUCAACUUGUACUGGAAUAUUCCUGUUAUUGUUCAAAUGUCAGGAGUGCUCGAUCUCUCACGCCAAAUGCUGCUCCUCCCGGACAAAUAUCUUAGGAUGCGAUCGAUGUGGUGGAGACGAUGCUCUAUCCCGCUCGCGUCGAUAACUGGAUCUGCCUGCUGGGAUCCUGCCGGAGGACGCGCGGCGUGCCGCUCCCGCUACUAGCCGCGCGGUGGAGCUCAAUCGAGCAGCGCCUUACAUUGUCCUGGAAAUUUACACUCAAGGAGCUCCAUAACUCGAUCGGUACCUCCUCGAGGACCGUGGUGAUCUCGCCGCGCUCCAGAGCCUCGUAGAAUUCCCGGGCGCUUGUAGCUGAUGUGGUACAUUUUCCAGCAAGAAGACACUGAUACAGAAACAUUGGCGCGAUCAAAUUGAGAGCCCGAGAGCGAGAUCUCCCUCAGGGUUCUUCGGUAGGGCUUGGCCUGGGGAUGCCGCUGGACAUCGUGGACGAUGAAUGGUAGCGCCAUACGCUCCCUGAAGAUCGGUCGCUCAAUGGUUCAGAUCAAGAGCAGCAGCUCGGCCGCCGAUCUCGGCCUCAACAUGAUUCAGUGAUCUUCGGGAGUUUUUAGGAAAAUGGAGAACCACGUCAAGGCUUACCUUGAUUUUUUCGUCUGCUUUUAAGCAACUCGAGAUUGACUAUGUGAUUGGUGAAAGCGAGAAAGAGUGGGUGCCAGGAAGACCUGGCCCUGCUGCACUUUUGAGGAUGUUUGGUAUGACCAGCAAGGUCUGUCUUUACUUUUUCAAUCUUUUAUAGGCUCAUCUAGGAAUUUAUAUCAGCUUUACAGACAUGAAUGCGCGAAGCAAACAGGAACAGCAAGACUCCCACUUUGUUACAAACAUAGAGAUGGUCCACAAGCGAAGCUUGAUGUAUUUCCAAUCACAGAGAGCAAGGGCGUUCCCCAAUAUUGUUGUUGCACUUCCAACAAUGGUUGCUUCCUGUAGAGGUACGACAGGAAUUCUUGAAUAAGGCAUCACUUUGGAAGGCUUUGGUCAUGACUACACGCCGACUUUCAACCUGCCAAAUCGAGAUUGAUACACUGUGACUUUGUCAUCUCCAUUGUGAAAUAUUGUGAUAUGUUCAACACACUUUUCUUUGUGCUUUCUGACCCAGAUACAACAAGAUUGUCAGUCAUAGUGCUCCAAGCUUGCAUCGUUUCGUAUCCGUUAUUCAGGUGCGUAUCUUUUAUUUGCUCUUCGAUUCAAUAAGUGACGCCAUUAUGUUGAUUGGGGAUCUUGUGACAGUACGCUCAAAUCUUCCUCUGCAAUCAGAACAUGUUUCAAUACUCAACAUGCAUAUGCGGCCAAACACUUCAACAGGAUUUCCCGACAGAACUUAUUGAUACUUGGUAUGGUGGGUAAAGUUUUUCUUAAAAGCGAAAAUAUAGUACAAUGUGCUUGUGAUUGUGCAGGAUCUUGUCCGAAAAGUGGACCCUAAUUUUAUAUUACAAUCACUUUCUUGCUUUUUUGGGCGUGCAUGUCCAGCAUCACGGUCCAGGCCCCAGAUCCAGCUCGGGCAUCGCAUCGAACAGCCUCUUUGCUCGAUGUAUGUGCCCGGAAGUGGCAUUUGCAGCGAGCAUUGCGGGCGAAACCAUCGUCCACGAAGCUAAGCUAUGGUCGGCAGCGCUUUUGUUAUAGGGACGUUCGAGCUUCUUCGGCAUAGCGGGGUUGGAAGCACGAAGAGCAGGAGGUUUGUGGAGAUAAAGCUCUUGAGCGGCACAUAGUUUUGGCUUCUGCAACGCUGCAGCAUGAUCGUCCAGGCCCAAGCCCUUUUUCGUGAAACUCUGAGUUCCACGAGACAUGAUCACAAAGGCACAUAAUUUGGCUUCUUCAACGCUGCAGCAUGAUCGUCCAAGCCCAAGCCUUUUUUCGUGAAACGCUGAGUUCCACGAGACUUGAUCACAAACGAGCAUUUGUGAGAAGACAUCGUUUGCUUCGUCGACGAGGCCAUGUUUUGCAAUUCUUCGCGGCUUUGACACCAGUGCCCGCAUUCCAUGACACAAGGUUCCAACACGGCAUUUUGUUCCUUACGCUGAUGUAAAGGGUUGCUGCCGUACUUGGCAUAAACGCUGGGCAACGCGCUCCAUGAGACGAGACCGUGAAUCGCCAUGCCGUCAAAGAUGGUGUUUACUUUUUCAGAAUGCCCGUGUUGGGCAUUUGCUUCAAGCAUAACCGCUAAAUGCAUUUUGUGAAACAGGCUUUUGGCCUCUGUGACGAGCCCUGGUUUGGCAUAUGCCGCGAGCAUCGCGUUCCACGAGACGAGAUUCCUCUCAUGUUUCGAAAGUAUGCCGCGAGCAUGACGUCCCAUAUUGAUUUGGAUCACAACGCCACGUAGAACCACGUAGGGCUGGAUAAUGACGUGUCAGAAUAAACUUUCGAACUGAGACCAACUUGGCAUGUCAUUGCUGCGGGGCUUUAUCGCUUUGUGGAGGAUUGGAUUCUUCAACAUUGACAAUCUUUUCCACAUGAAUCUAUCACUGCAUGAAUCCAUCACCGAAAAUGCUAAAUGGUAUGCAUGUAUAGUAGAUGCUAUACAUGAGCAUUUGAUGUGCCUUAAGAAAACCACUUAGUUUUCUAGAUCUGGGCUUCUGUUUUUGCAGUGGCGAUAGUUUGAAGCGCUCCACGCGUGUUUAGGCCGAGCUUGAUGUAAUUGAGCAAAUAGUCCUUGAAGACGACGGGUUUGUAGAGAGCUGGAUGGGACGAGCUGGGGGGAAGGAGCAAUCGGCAACGAUUUGGCUGGGCCCAUGAGCGUCGCGACUGAAAUCCGGAGCUUCUCCUUGUUUACCACUGCCCGGUACUCCACGCUAUGAUAUCUUCCAUUGCUUAUGAUCACUUACAAAACCAAUGAUUGGAUUCUACCGUUUGUUAUUGUUUGCUGUGUUC
RNAcentral lists this long non-coding RNA (5605 nucleotides) under Selaginella moellendorffii. RNAcentral describes it as "long non-coding RNA (SMOE_LNC001558)". Lineage: Eukaryota; Viridiplantae; Streptophyta; Lycopodiopsida; Selaginellales; Selaginellaceae. The record is from RNAcentral.